Molecule: ribosomal RNA, 253 nt
Filed under: uncultured bacterium
Lineage: Bacteria
Description: partial 16S ribosomal RNA
Rfam family: Bacterial small subunit ribosomal RNA
Source: RNAcentral
UACGGAGGGUGCAAGCGUUGUCCGGAAUCAUUGGGUUUAAAGGGUACGUAGGCGGCCGGUUAAGUCAGUGGUGAAAUCCCACCGCCCAACGGUGGAAGUGCCAUUGAUACUGGUUGGCUUGGGUUCUGUAUGGGCCGGCGGAAUUCCCGGUGUAGCGGUGAAAUGCAUAGAUACCGGGAGGAACACCGAAGGCGGAGGCAGCCGGCUUGGCAGCGACCGACGCUGAUGUACGAAAGCGCGGGUAUCGAACAGG